RNAcentral lists this ribosomal RNA (566 nucleotides) under uncultured Glomeromycotina. RNAcentral describes it as "SSU rRNA". It matches the Rfam family "Eukaryotic small subunit ribosomal RNA", at positions 548 to 1114 of the family's 1831-position model. Lineage: Eukaryota; Fungi; Glomeromycota. The record is from RNAcentral.
UUGGAGGGCAAGUCUGGUGCCAGCAGCCGCGGUAAUUCCAGCUCCAAUAGCGUAUAUUAAAGUUGUUGCAGUUAAAAAGCUCGUAGUUGAACCUCGGGGUCUACCCAUUGGUCAGGCUUAAUUGUCUGCACUGGUGAGAUGGAUCUCUACCUUCUGAGGAACUUUCAUGCCAUUUAUUUGGUGUGAUGGGAAAUCAGGACUGUUACUUUGAAAAAAUUAGAGUGUUUAAAGCAGACUAUCGUCUGAAUACAUUAGCAUGGAAUAAUGAAAUAGGACGGACUGAUUCUAUUCGUUGGUUUCUAGGAUCACCGUAAUGAUUAAUAGGGAUAGUUGGGGGCAUUAGUAUUCAGUUGUCAGAGGUGAAAUUCUUGGACUUAUUGAAGACUAACUACUGCGAAAGCAUUUGCCAAGGAUGUUUUCAUUAAUCAAGAACGAAAGUUAGGGGAUCGAAGACGAUCAGAUGCCGUCGUAGUCUUAACCAUAAACUAUGCCGACUAGGAAUCAGACGAUGUUAAUUUUUUAAUGACUCGUUUGGCACCUUACGGGAAACCAAAGUGUUUGGGUUC